This 433-nucleotide ribosomal RNA is filed under the name uncultured bacterium. RNAcentral's name for it is "partial 16S ribosomal RNA". It matches the Rfam family "Bacterial small subunit ribosomal RNA", at positions 29 to 507 of the family's 1533-position model. The record is from RNAcentral.
AACGAACGCUGGCGGCAUGCCUAACACAUGCAAGUCGAACGAGACCUUCGGGUCUAGUGGCGCACGGGUGCGUAACGCGUGGGAAUCUGCCCUUGGGUUCGGGAUAACAGUUGGAAACGACUGCUAAUACCGGAUGAUGACUUCGGUCCAAAGAUUUAUCGCCCAGGGAUGAGCCCGCGUCGGAUUAGCUAGUUGGUGAGGUAAGAGCUCACCAAGGCGACGAUCCGUAGCUGGCCUGAGAGGAUGAUCAGCCACACUGGGACUGAGACACGGCCCAGACUCCUACGGGAGGCAGCAGUGGGGAAUAUUGGACAAUGGGCGAAAGCCUGAUCCAGCAAUGCCGCGUGAGUGAUGAAGGCCUUAGGGUUGUAAAGCUCUUUUACCCGGGAUGAUAAUGACAGUACCGGGAGAAUAAGCCCCGGCUAACUCCGUG